GCUGGAAACAGCCUGUGCGAGGCGUACCUUUGUGAGGGGCGGGAGCCCGCGAACAGGAGUCUGGGACUGAUUCCGGAACCCGCUGAGAUUCCAACCAAUCAGAGCGCGGGACAGGCCGGAGGCGGGGCGGGCGAGAAGAUCUCGCGGGAACGCGGCCUCCGGGCCCUGGAAGCAAGUCUUCUGGACCGGCCUCAGUUCUGGGAGGUCCUGUUCCAGGCUGGCUGCUUCGCCGGGGAGCUGUGGCCGACCCCGCGCAGGAGCGGUCAGGGCGCCGGGUGACUGCGGGUGUUGAGCGUGGGGCGGCUUCCGAGUUUCUCACACCGGCGCCGCCAGACGGGGGCGGCCAGGGCCAUUUCUGAGAGAAAACAACUCCCAGUUUGCUGCGGCUGAGCACAGAAUCGACACCUUCUCCUCUUCUCAGCCCCACAGUGACAGACUGUGCAGAUGCUGGUCCCAGGUGGCCGGAGUCCCAUUUCUUUUCCACAAGAAAGGGGCAAAAGAGCAGAAAAUGAAAAUGGUCUGCAUUCUCCGUGGUCACCCUGCCCUCUGUUCCUUACUAUAAAGACUACACGCCUGGACACGUAUUGAAGAUUGGGCCCACAACAUCAUGAAAGCCAGGCAAGC
This is a long non-coding RNA of Fukomys damarensis (Damara mole-rat), 624 nucleotides long. RefSeq lists it as uncharacterized. The record is from RefSeq and is a predicted model, not a curated record. The transcript is spliced from 3 exons. NCBI's taxonomy places the organism in Eukaryota, Metazoa, Chordata, Mammalia, Rodentia, Bathyergidae.